GUGGGGGAUAUUGCACAAUGGGGGAAACCCUGAUGCAGCGACGCCGCGUGGGUGAAGAAGUAUUUCGGUAUGUAAAGCCCUAUCAGCAGGGAAGAAAGAAGACGGUACCUGACUAAGAAGCCCCGGCUAACUACGUGCCAGCAGCCGCGGUAAUACGUAGGGGGCGAGCGUUAUCCGGAUUCACUGGGUGUAAAGGGAGCGUAGACGGCCGUGCAAGCCAGGAGUGAAAGCCCGGGGCCCAACCCCGGGACUGCUCUUGGAACUGUGCGGCUAGAGUGCGGGAGGGGCAGGCGGAAUUCCUGGUGUAGCGGUGAAAUGCGUAGAUAUCAGGAGGAACACCGGCGGCGAAGGCGGCCUGCUGGACCGCGACUGACGUUGAGGCUCGAAAGCGUGGGGAGCGAACAGGAUUAGAAACCCUAGUAGUCC
RNAcentral lists this ribosomal RNA (426 nucleotides) under uncultured bacterium. RNAcentral describes it as "bacterial SSU rRNA". It matches the Rfam family "Bacterial small subunit ribosomal RNA", at positions 354 to 796 of the family's 1533-position model. The record is from RNAcentral.